UGUGGAUGUAGCCCAGUGGUAGAGUACUUGCCUAGAGUUCACAAGGUCCUGGGGUUUGAUUCCCAGCACCACAA
RNAcentral lists this transfer RNA (74 nucleotides) under Mus musculus (house mouse). Its description in RNAcentral is "tRNA-Ser". The record is from RNAcentral. Lineage: Eukaryota; Metazoa; Chordata; Mammalia; Rodentia; Muridae.